Molecule: ribosomal RNA, 497 nt
Filed under: uncultured bacterium
Lineage: Bacteria
Description: partial 16S ribosomal RNA
Rfam family: Bacterial small subunit ribosomal RNA
Source: RNAcentral
GAUGAACGCUGGCGGCGUGCCUAAUACAUGCAAGUCGAGCGAACGGACGAGAAGCUUGCUUCUCUGAUGUUAGCGGCGGACGGGUAAGUAACACGUGGAUAACCUACCUAUAAGACUGGGAUAACUUCGGGAAACCGGAGCUAAUACCGGAUAAUAUUUUGAACCGCAUGGUUCAAAAGUGAAAGACGGUCUUGCUGUCACUUAUAGAUGGAUCCGCGCUGCAUUAGCUAGUUGGUAAGGUAACAGCUUACCAAGGCAACGAUGCAUAGCCGACCUGAGAGGGUGAUCGGCCACACUGGAACUGAGACACGGUCCAGACUCCUACGGGAGGCAGCAGUAGGGAAUCUUCCGCAAUGGGCGAAAGCCUGACGGAGCAACGCCGCGUGAGUGAUGAAGGUCUUCGGAUCGUAAAACUCUGUUAUUAGGGAAGAACAUAUGUGUAAGUAACUGUGCACAUCUUGACGGUACCUAAUCAGAAAGCCACGGCUAACUACGUG